GUGACCAUAAUGUGGUGGCUUCUCUCCCUUAGGUGGUUUGCCAACUGGGGUUGGUGGCUUGUGUUCUGGGAGUGGCUUCUCCCCCUUGGGAGGUUUUUCCAAUGGGGUUGGUUUGUGUUCAGGAGGUGGCUUCUCCACUGGAGGCUUGUGUUCAGGAGGUGGCUUCUCCACCGGUGGCUUGUGUUCAGGAGGUGGCUUCUCCACCGGAGGCUUAUGCUCUGGUGGUGGCUUCUCCACCGGAGGCUUAUGCUCUGGUGGUGGCUUCUUGAAUGGGGGAUGCUGAGGGUAAUCAGCAAGUGAGGGGGCGGUGAGAACCACCAGGCCAAGCAACACCACUAGCAAAUAUGUAGGAGACAUCUUUGGGUUUGGGCUCAGAUGGUGCAAAACUAGGAGAAUUGGCUAGCCUUUUAUAGCGGAUCGUACUCAAUAAUGAAAUGACACGUGUCAUUAUGACCCAUGUGUAAUGGGGUCGAUUUGGGUCCUACAGUGUUGAAAACUUCGACAUCCAGUUUUGGCCUUUUGCUUUCUCUACAGCCGCCUUGCUUUUUCCCUCUUUCCUUUUGUUUUCCUCCUGCCCCAUUCUAUCAACUAAACACAAUUAUGUAGUUGUUUAAUUCUUAAAUGAGAUAUUAUCGGUCAAUCGUAUUAUAUUUUAUCAAGAGAGAACGGAGUGCAAUGCAGCUGUAAUUUUAUCGUUUACUUUUAUCUCUUGGACCACUGCAUUUUUGUUAAGAGGUGCAAUAAUACACGUCUUUAUCUGCCAUUCAAUGUUUACAGUAAAGAGAGGGCACAAAACUCUUCACUGCUCUGCAUGUGUCCCAAAAAUGCGAUUGGACAAAUUAUGAUUUGCAUGCUAAAAAGAGGCAAAUGAGGUUAAUUCGCACCAUAAUUAUUUGGUUUUCUGGACACCAUAAAAAGAUGUUAUACAGGCAGGGAAAAACCUUCAGAGUUAGCUACCAAAGAUAAUUAUCAAGCAGAUAUCACCAAGAGAAUUCCAUAGAGUCUGAAUCAAAGACAGAUUGCUCGCUCGUGGGGGUUCUUACUUUCUUUUGGGUAUAACUCACUGAGGUCACUGUCUUUUUUAUUUGCAUUUCACAGUUAGAGUUCUGCUCUGGAAGGUUUGUUCUGGAAACAUAUAAAAGGAGCAUCAUUUUGUUCUUGGGUAACCCAUAGUCGUGAGUGGGUCCAUUUGCAUGCUACUUAGUUGAAAAGUUGGACAAUUUGCUCCGACGCCUACCUCCUGGAUUCCAUGCUCGGUAAAACAAGAAUAAAAAAAAAUAUAUAAUUUACAAAUGGGGGAAAGAAAAAAUGUCGGAAAAAAUAGUAAAAUUCAUGUCACAUGCUAGUGAGAGAAGGGGUUGUUACACUCACUCGAAGUUCUUUUCAAAAUAUCGAAUGGUAUUUUACUUUAUGUGUCAGCGCAGUUGUGAAUGGAACGUGCAAAAGUCCAAAUUGGCGUUUUUAUUUUUCCCAUGUAGGAUGGUGACCUUUAAUAAAUAUUUAAAACAAAAGACGAAAAAAAAAAGGAGGGAAAAGGGAUCACAAAAGAUAAAAUAAUGUUUACAAAAGCUCAAUUAGUUUGCAAAUUACUGUUUGGAUUUUGAUAGUAUUUUAUUUGUCGUUCUAUAUUUGAUGUAAAAGAGAAUUUAAGAUAUUUCCGAAGCAAAAGCAUUAGUUUGCUCUGUGAUGUCCCACAUCGAAUAGGGGAGAAAGUUUCUGGCGCUAUAUAUGUAGAGGCUCCUCUUAACCAAGUAGAUGCGUUUUAAAACCAUGAGGGCCCCCUUAGGUCCAAAGCGGACAAUAUCUACAUGAUUGGGUGUAAGUCAUUACAAAUGGUAUCAGAGCCGAUCCCCGACCCCGGUGUGGGGGUUUGUUUGGCCCUGUAAGGGGUGUUUGUCUGUUUGACCCCACAAUCCCAUGGGACACAACGAGGACGUUGUGUCUGCAUGGGGGGGCGUUUGUGAUGUCCCACAUCGGAUAGGGGAGAAAGUUCCUAGUGCUAUAUAUGUAGAUGUUUCUCUUAACCAAGUAGAUGCAUUUUAAAAUUGUGAGGGCCUCUUUGGGCCCAAAGCGGACAAUAUCUACAUGGUUGAGUGUAAGUCAUUACAUGCUCCAUGUCAAUUUCAGCAUUUCUCAUAUGUUUCACACAUACACAGAAGAGCAUCGUUUUUUAAAGCAUGCAUUUAUGUUGGAUUAAUUUGGAUUUUGUGGGAACUGGGGCAAGGAUCACAUGGAAGAGAGGUUGACUUUUUUCAGUACUUCAAUGGUUGAAAUAUGUGAAGGCUUGAUUGAUACUAAAGCUUGAAAUUGCGACUCUGUCAUUUGUAAAAAAAUAUGACAGCUUCCAUGCUCUCGUUUGGUUGCAUUGUCCGGUCGAGAGGUGCAAAAAGCAUUCUCUCUCUUCUAAUAGUCUUUUCGUUUAAAUCAAGGGAUUUGCCUUCCCGGUCGAGGUCCAAUAGAGGGUAACGGUCACCUACUAAACAUUAAAUGCUCCAACAACUAGUGAACUGAUCGACCCCAGCUCGACUAGUUGAGGUUACUUUUUGGUUUUCUUGUCUCCCGAGGUUAGAAACCUAUAAAUAGAGAGCUUCACUUCAUUUAUGAGUAAGAGAACACCUAAAUUUAUUUGUUUACCUACUUGUUUUUGCCAUAAAAGCUCUCAUUUCUUUUCUUGGUGUAUUAAAUCUCCAUUUGCAUAUCCUUUAGUGCACCUUUGUGAUUCAUUCUAGCCUUGAGUUGUAUUUAAGCCUUUGUUGAGCUAGGUUGAGAGUUUCAUACUUGUUUAUUGAGUGUUAAAGCCUUCAAGUGAGUUAAAACUUGAAGAGAUUGUGUAAGAGCCCAUUGGAGUCGGAAUCCAAGUGUAAAGGUGAUUAAAAGCUUGGUUGAAGCUUCAAGUUAGUGGAACUCUCACUCGGUUAUGAGCUUGAGAAGAGUGGACAUAGACAAGGCAGUGUCGAACCACUAUAAAAUCUGAGUUUGAUUUCUCUAACCUUAUCUCUUUAUAUUUGCUUCUCUUGUGCUUAAAUUUUUUGUGUUUAAAAAGAAUUUUUAAAAACUCAAUUCACCCCCUUCUUGGGAGUUUUUCUCUUUUAAGAUCAGCUUUUAUUUUCUCAAUUGGUAUCAGAACUAUGCCUCUUGUUUAAGACUUAAUCGUCUAAGAGGAAAUGGCUAAUCCAUCAAGUUCAUCUCACAUUGAAAGUUUUGCAACCAAUAGACUUCUUUUUUUUUUUUUGCGGGAACUGAUUAUCCCUAUUGGAAAACUAAAAUGACUUGGUUUUUACAAUCAAUUGAUUUAGAUGUAUGAGAUGCCAUUGAAGAUGACCUAACUUUUCCUUCAAAACUAGUUGAUGGAGUCAUGGUUCCAAAACCUAAGCAAGAAUGGGAUGAGCGUGAUUGAAGAAAUUUUCAAUUAAAUGCUAAAGUCGUUUAUACUUUGCAAUGCUCUAUGGACAGAAAUGAAUAUAAUAGAAUAUGUCAAUGCAAAUCGGUUAAAGAAAUUUGGAGAUUGCUUGAAAUAACUCAUAAAGGAACAAAUCAAGUUAAAGAGUCAAAAAUCAAUUUACUUGUUCAUAGAUAUGAAUUGUUUUUUAUGAAAGAUAAUGAAACUAUUGUUAAGAUGAUCACUAGGUUCACCAACAUUGUUAAUGGUCUUAAAGCCUUGGGAAAGACCUACAAGGAAUCCGAAAACGUGAUGAAGAUCUUGAGGUCACUUCCAUCAAAGUGGCAUACCAAGGUCACCGCAAUUUAAGAAGCAAAAGACUUGAUCAAGCUACCUUUGGAGGAGUUCAUAGGGUCAUUGAUGACAUAUGAAAUCAAUUUGGCAAAGAAGUAACAAAAAGGUGAAGACAAAAAGAAGAAGAACAUAACUCUCAAAGCUACAACUAAGGAAGAAGAAGUUGAAGAAGAAAAACAAAUUGAAGAAGAUGAAGAUUUAGCCCUCAUCACAAGAAAGUUCAACAAAUUCAUGAGGGGUGAAAGGUUUAGAAGAAGAAGGUUCACUUCUAGAAGAGACUUUUCUAAAAAGGAAUCUUCAUCUAAUGGUGACAAAAAGAGAUGGGAAGAGAAAAGAGACUUGGUGUGUUUCAAGUGCAAGAAACCGGGACACAUUAAAUAUGAUUGUCCUCUCUACAAAAGUGAAGUCAAGAGGAAAAAGAAUAAGGCAAUGAUGGCCACUUAGAGUGAAAGUGAAGAUGAAUCAUCCGAAGAAGAAAAUGAGAAAGAAGUGGCAAACAUGUGUUUCAUGGCAAUAGAUGAACUUGAUGAGGUAAAAUCUAACCUUAGUGAUUAAGAUAUACAUGAUGCAUUUGAAGAAUUGUAUGAGGAUUUUUAAAAACUUAGUUUGAAAAAUAUUUCUCUUAAAAAGAAAGUUCAACAACUUGACAAAGAACUUAGAGAAGUAAAAGAAAAAUUUUCAAAUGUUAAAGUUUCUAAAACUCAUCUUGAAAAAGAAAAUGAGAUUCUAAGAAAGAAAAAUGAAUAGUUGAACUCCUCUCUUUCAAUCUUUUCUUCUAGACAAAAAUCUUUUGAAAUGAUUCUAACUAGCUAAAAAUGUGUUUUUGACAAACAAGGGUUAAGAUUUAAAUCUUCAAAAAAUCAAAAGUAUUUUAAAAACUAUUUUGUAAAGGAAUCCACAAGUGCAAGUCCUUCCACUACUUGCAACUUUUGUGGAAGAGAAUGGCACAUUAGUAGUACGCCCUUUAAGAAAUGGUUCUCAAAAGAAUUUAAAUGCAAAAACUAAAAAAGAUUUGGAUUGAGAAAUCCAAGGUCACUAACCCUCAAGGACCCAAAAAGAUAUAGGUACCUAAAUCAACUUGAGUUUUAUGUUGUAAGGUUCAAAGAAUGAUAAGUGGUUCUUAGAUAAUGGUUGCUCAAGACACAUGACCGGAGAUGAAUCCAAGUUUGCUUUUCUUAAAAAGAAAAAUGGAGGAUAUGUUACCUUUGGAGACAAUGCAAAAGAAAGGAUGAUUGGUCAAGGCAACAUUGGUAAUGGCACAUCCUCUCUCAUUGAAAGUGUUUUAUUAGUAGAUGGUUUCAAACAUAACCUUUUAAGCAUUAGUCAAUUUUGCGACAAAGGUUUUUAAGUGAUUUUUUAAGCAUCUCAUUGCAUCAUCAAGGAUAUUCAAAAUGAUAAAACCAUUUUCAUGGGCCAUAGAUGUGAUAAUGUUUAUGCUAUAAAUAUUUCAAAAUAUGAUGGCCAUGAUAGAUGUUUUUCAAGCAUGCAUGAUCAAAGUUGGUUGUGCCAUAGGAGAUUGAGACAUGCUAACAUAGACCUCAUUUCCCAACUCAACAAAGAUGAACUUGUUAGAGGCCUUCCCAAAAUAAUUUUUUAAAAAGAUAAAGUUUGUGAAGCUUGUCAAGUGGGAAAGUAAAUCAAAAACUCUUUUAAAAACAAAAACUUCAUUUCCACAUCUAGGCCACUUGAGUUGUUGCAUAUGGAUUUAUUUGGUCCCUCUAGGACACCAAGUCUUAGAGGAAAUUCUUAUGCAUAUGCUAUUGUGGACGACUUCUCUAGAUACACAUGAGUCUUGUUUUUUAGUCAAAAGAAUAAAGUUUUUUAUGAGUUUUCAAAGUUUUGCAAUAAGAUUCAAAAUGAAAAAGGUUUUUCAAUUACUUAUAUAAGAAGUGAUCAUGGGAGAGAAUUCGAAAAUAUUGAUUUUGAAGAGUAUUGCAAUGAGCAUGGAAUUGACCACAAUUUUUUGGCUCUUAGAACUCCUCAACAAAAUGGGGUAGUUGAAAGGAAAAAUAGAACUCUUCAAAAAAUGACAAGAACCAUACUAAAUGAAAACAACUUACCAAAAUAUUUUUAGGCCAAAACGGUUAACACUUCUUGUUAUGUUUUAAAUAGAGUAUUAUUGAGGCUCAUACUUAAGAAAACUCCCUAUGAGCUUUGGAAAAACAAAAAACCCAACAUUAGUUAUUCCAAAGUCUUUGGAUGCAAUAUUUUAUAAUAAACACCAAAGACAAUCUUGGAAAAUUUGAUGCAAAAUUGGAUGUUGGAAUUUUCCUUGGUUACUCAACUUCAAGUAAAGCUUUUCGAGUUUUAACAAAAGAACCAUGGUUGUAGAGGAGUCCAUCCAUGUUAUUUUUUAUGAAUCUCCAAGAAAGAGAGAGGAUUGAUGAUGAUUUAGGUUUGAAGACCUCUAUAGGAAGAUUGCAAAUCGAAGAUAGAAGACAACAAGAAGAAAAUGGAGAGAAUCCAAAGAAAGAAGGAUCACCAUUGGCACUACCCCCUCAUCAACAAGCGCAAGGUGAAUCAAGUCAAGAGCUUCCUAAAGAAUGGAAGUUUGUCAUCAAUCACCCACAAGAUCAAAUUAUAGGCAAUCCAUCUAGUGGGGUAAGAACUAGAUCCUCUCUUAGAAAUAUUUGCAAUAAUCUAGCUUUUAUCUCUCAAAUUGAGCCUAAAAAUAUAAAUGAUGUUUUAGAUGAUGAAAAUUGGAUAAUUGCAAUGCAAGAAGAGUUAAAUCCAUUUGAAAGAAGUGGAGUAUGGGAAUUAGUACCAAGACCUUCAAAUCAAAGUGUUAUUGGAACUAGAUGGAUCUUUAGAAAUAAAAUGGAUGAAAAUAGCAUAAUUGUUAGAAAUAAAGCAAGAUUGGUAGCCCAAGGUUUUAAUCAAGAAGAAAUGAUAGAUUAUGAAGAAACCUUUGCCCCCGUAGCUAGGUUGGAAGCCAUUAGGAUGCUACUUGCCUUUGCAUGUUUUAAAGACUUUGUUUUAUAUCAAAUGGAUGUGAAAAGUGCUUUUUUAAAUGGUUUUAUAAAUGAAGAAGUAUAUGUUGAACAACCACCCGGUUUUCAAAGUUUCAACUUUCCUAACCAUGUUUUUAAACUUAAAAAGACACUUUAUGGUUUGAAACAAGCACCUAGAUCAUGGUAUGAAAAAUUGAGUAAAUUUCUUUUGAAAAAAAUGUUUUAAAAUGGGAAAAAUUGACACAACUCUUUUUAUAAAAACCAAAGAAAAUGAUAUGCUCUUAGUUCAAAUAUAUAUUGAUGAUAUCAUUUUUGGUGCUACUAAUGUCUCUCUUUAUGAAGAAUUUUCUAAGUGCAUGCAUAGUGAGUUUGAAAUGAGCAUGAUAGGAGAACUCAACUUCUUCCUUGGACUUCAAAUCAAGCAACUAAAGGAAUGAACCUUCAUCAAUCAAGCAAAGUAUAUAAGAGAUCUUCUCAAAAGGUUCAACAUGGAAGAAGCCAAAACAAUGAAGACUCUAAUGAGCUCAUCCAUUAAGCUUGAUAAGGAUGAGAAAGGUAAAUCCAUUGACUCUAUUAUGUAUAGAGGCAUGAUAGGUUCUUUGCUCUAUUUGACCACUAGUAGACCUUACAUUAUGUAUAGUGUGUGUUUGUGUACUAGAUUUCAAUCUUGUCUUAAAAAAUCUCACUUAAGUGUCGUGAAAAGAAUCCUCAAAUAUUUGAAAGGGACAAUGGACAUAGGCUUAUGGUAUCCUAAGAGUGAUAACUUUGAAUUAAUUGGUUUUUUGGAUGCUGAUUUUGUCAGUUGUAGGGUUGAAAAAUAAAACACUAGUGGCACUUUUCAUUUCUUAAGACACUUACUUGUCUCAUGGCAUAAUAAGAAGCAAAAUUUGGUAGCUUUGUCAACAGCAGAAGCUAAAUACAUAGCAACUGGUUUAUGUUGUGCACAAAUCCUUUGGAUGAAAUAAACACUUAGUGAUUUUGAUUUAUCUUUUGAGCAUAUUCCUAUUAAAUGUGAUAAUAGUAGUGCCAUAAGUAUAUCAAAAAAUCUCGUGCAACACUCUAGGACUAAGCAUAUAGAGAUUAGACAUAAUUUUCUUAGAUAUCAUACACAAAAGGAUGAUAUAACACUUGAAUUUGUAAGCAUAAAAGACCAACUUGCCGAUAUCUUUACAAAACCUCUAAGAACAUUUUGUUGAUAUUAGAGGACAAUUAGGAGUGAUUUCUUUAUGAUCUAAUGUGAUGAAUUCUUGAUGAAUAUACUUUUUGAUUGCAUGAAUUUCAUGUCAUAUAUGCAUCAUAUAGAAAUAUACUUAGAUAAUGGUCAAAUUUCGACCAAAAAUCAAAAUUCCCAUGGCAUUAGGCAUAAAAAUUUUGGAAUUUCAACUGAAAAUGGUAGGAGGAGGAUCACAAAAUGAGAAAGUAUGCAAAAAUUGAAAAAUCAAAACGUUGACCAAGCGGUCAAUCGGACUAGACCGAUCGACUAGUUUGUCGAGAUUUAGGAUUUUUAAGAGACUCCAACGCUUCAAUUUUUGCACCGUUCUCCUCUAUUUCUUCACGGUUUCUCUGAUUUUGUCUUUUAGAGACUAAUUUGAGUGCGUUUUGGAUCAAUUGAAGCAUUUUGGAUUGGAUUUUAGGAAGAUUGAAAGUUAAGGUUUCGGAUUUGGGUCGCCUUCUCUUCCUCUCGCGUGUCACAAUCAGCUUUAGCAUUGUUCUCUUUCCAUUUUCACACACCUAGGGUUUCAGUUGUGAGCAUCUCUCUCUCUUUACCAACCACUACUCCCUUGCUUCUUCCAUAUGGCUCCUAGGCGAGAGUCCGCUACUUCUAGGGCACAAGGCAAGCACCCAACUGAGUCGUCUCAGUCAAAGGCACGUCGAAAAGUGAGAUUUGACAUUGCCUUGUUCAGUUCCAUGGAGGACUACCAACUAUACAAGCAACACUUUGCUUAGAGACGAGUAGUUCCCAAGAGAAAUAUUAAUUUUCCUCAACUUCAGCAUUUCGAAUUUAAGGGUCUAUUUACUAGGAUGGUUGGUUGUCUAUUGUCACAAUUUCGGAGCCGGUUUUCCUGACCUUAGUGCGAGUUUUUUACUCGAGGGCGACUUAUGGCAUGGGUGGCAUGAUCAUUUCUACUGUUGGAGGAGUUGAGAUCUGUCUGGACCCAGAGAGCAUCUGCCAUAUUUUCGAUAUUGCUCUGGUUGGACUCAAAGUAUACAAGUCCAAAAUGUGGCCCAUUGUGCCAGGAUUUGAGCUUAGAGAGGUCAUUCAGAGGAUUUGUGAACUUCCAGACGCCCAGGAGAUGGGCAAACCAUUGCCACACAGUUUGACGGUCAUCAACAGGGUGCUACACCAUAUAUUGUGCUCUAUCUUUCUACCACGAAGUGGACAUUGAGAUGAGGUCUCUUAUUAUGAGGCAUUCCUUAUUGACUCCAUUCUAACGGAGAGACGAAUUCAUCUACUAUGUCAUCAUUCACUAAGCCUCCUCACAGUGACAUACCACCUCAUCAGGCACCUCUUGCUCCUGACCAUGCUCCAUUGAUGGAUUUAUUUACUCAUAUUAGCUCUCUAGGCACUCGCAUGAAGGAGUUUGUUGUAGUUAGUGAUACAUGGUUCUACUCCAUAGAGGAUCGCAUGGAUCAGUAUCAGACUGGCUUCACGUCACAGUUUGAGUAUCUCCAAUAGAGGAUUGAGCAUAUUGAGGAUCACUUGAGCAUGAGAAGAUGAUGGCUUUUCUAUGCUCUGUGUUUCCACCUCCACCUCGUCAACCUUGAUUUCUUAGAGACCCAUUGUUUUCAUUUUGUAAUGUUGCCAAAAGGGGGAGAUAUUUAGGAUCUAGGACUCUAUAGGAGACUUACAUGCAUAUCAUUUUCAUAUCAUUGUUUGGAUCGUACAUAUUGGAUAGUGAUACUUUUUACUUAUAUAUGAUAUGCCUAUAUGUUUCAUGUCUUACAUUGUUUCUUAUUGCAAAUUAUCUCUAACAUGUCUUGAUUAUCUUUUUUUUAACUUCAUAAAUUUUGAUUGUUAACCCAUGAUUGGUUUGAGGGGAAGAUUCUUCUUCUCCUAGAUAACCAAGGUUUGUCAUCAUAAAAAAAUUGGAGAUUGUUAGCCCAAGGGUUCUCCUAAUCAUGUUUUGAUGAUAACAAACCAUGCUUAAGUUACUAAUUGGUUUGAAUUAUAAAGAAUUUCAAGUGUUAAUUUGAAAAUUCAUCAAAGAACCUAAUGGAUGCAAGAUCAAGAUUUUUGGAAGACCUUUAAUCAUAAGAAACAUAUGUAAGAUGAAUGCAUGGGUGCACUUAAGAUUUGCAUAUCAUUUCAUGCAUAUUUGGAAAACACGGUUUAUGCUUUAAAGUUACAUUUCCAUCAAAAUUUGAGAUCCAUCAAAUGAACCUUAGGAAAAAUGUUUUAAAAUUGGCAUAUAAUUUUACCUAAAGACCUUGCCUAAGUGUUAGAAGCAAAAGGACAAAAAAAAUAUAGGUUUUCUGGUCAAAAAUGGUGAACCAGUCAAGGCAUUGUCUAAAUCAGCUCAAUCGGCCAAGGUACCGGUCGAUCGGUUUCCCUUUCCCUGUCGAGAUCUAGUCAAGAGGUACAAAAAUCACAAUCUCUGUCUCUUUCUCUCUUUGUCUAUCUUCCAGUAGUCUUUCCUUCCCGGUCGAGGGAUUUGCCUUCCCGAUUGAGGUCCGAUUGAGAGUAAUAGUCACUUGCCAAAUAUUAAAUGCUCCAACAGUUAGUGAACUGGUCGACCCCCACCUUGCCCAGUUGAGGUUACUUUUUGGUUUUCUUGGCUCCCGAUGUUAGAAACCUAUAAAUAGAGAGUUCCACUUCAUUUAUGAGCAAGAGAACACUUGCAUUUAUUUGUUUACCUACUUGUUCUUGCCUUAAAAGCUCUCAUUUCUUUUCUUGGUGCAUUAAAUCUCCAUUUUGAUAUCCUUUAGUGCACCUUUGUGAUUCAUCUUAGCCUUGAGUUGUAUUUGAGCCCUUUUUUUAGCUAGGUUGAGAGUUUCAUACUUGUUAAUUGAGUGUUAAAGCCUUCAAGUGAGUUGAAACUUGUAGAGAUUAUGUGAGAGUCGAUUGGAGCCGAAAUCCAAGUGUAAAGGUGAUUAGAAGCUUGGUUGAAGCUUCAAGUUAGUGGAAUCCUCACUCAAUUAGGAGCUUGAGGAGAGUGGACGUAGCCAAGGAAGUGUCGAACCACUAUAAAAUUUGAGUUUGAUUUCUCUAACAUUGUCUCUUUAUAUUUGUUUAUCUUGUGCUUAAAUUUAUUGUGUUUAAAAAGAAUUUUUAAAUACCCAAUUCACCCCCCUCUUGGGUGUUUUUCUCUUUUAAAAUUAGCCUUUAUUUUCUCACAAACUAUUGUAGUAUAGUGGUUUUUAGGUGUCAUCCAUUAGGAUGAAUUGUUCUCGGUAAUUAAGGCGUGAAUGAGAGGAGAAUUAAUGAUUGUGAUUAAGUAAAAUUGAUUUGAAAAUUCAUGGUGAAAAAUCAAUUUAACAAUGGUUUCUAAUUGAGAAAAACAAUGAAAUGUGAAAUAAAAUAAAAUUAAUAGGAAAUGAAAUUCUCGAAGUUAGAAUUUUCUAAAAAACAAAUUCCAUGGUGAAUGGAUGUUGAGAUCUAAUUUUCAUCAAGUUAGAUUGAAAACCGAAAUUUUCAUAUAAACUGAUUUUUUAUUUAGUUUUAGGUCUAGAUUUAAUUUCCCUUAAAAUUAGGUUAUUUAAUCCAAGAAAUCAAUUCAAAUCAUAUAUUCAAUUCAUCUUAAAUUAUCUUCCAAUUAUUCACACAAUGCAACUAUUCAAUCUCAUCAAAUCUAGCUUUUAAGAAUUUAAUGAAUCUACCUAGUUUGCAUUGUAAUAGUCAUCCAUGACAAUUUGAAGAGAAAAAUAAUUCAAUUAAUCAAUCACUUGGAUCAAAUUACCUUUGCAAUUAAAGUUCAUUUCUCUAAUUCACCACAGAUUUUGUCUCUAGAUCCUCCUUUCUCAAAGAAAAAUGAGAUUUAGCCACACAUGAUUGGAGAUUUGGUCUCAUAAGGCAUGUUUAGCUAGUGAUAAAAUGAGAGAAAAUAAAGAAAAAUAGAGAAUUCGAUUAAGAAAGAAAAUCUAAAAAAUUCUACAAUUAGAAAUGUCCAAAAAGCUUUUUCAUGAGAAAAUCAAGUUUCUAUUUAUAGGCCAAGGUCAAGUGGACACUUGACAUCAUCUAAGAGGUCUUCCGGAAGCUUCUUCAUCAAGAAAUCUGGAGUUUAAUAAUAAAAUGGUCAUUUCACAAGAGCUCAAACAAUUUCGCAUGAUUAUGUGAAAUAAAAAAUGCAACAACAGCAAUUUACAUCUUCUUGGAGCAUUUCGCAUGACUGUGUGAAAUUUUCACAUGAUCAUGUGGAAUCGACUUGACAACUCUCAUUUAGCCUACAACAUAAUUCCACCUUUUGGUCCAUUUUUCAUAGUCAUGCGAAAUGGAAAUAUUUGAUUUUUAAGUUUUCUUUUGUCAUUUCUUUCAUUUCCUUCUCUUGAUUCCACUUCAACUACCUCCGAAUCCUGGUCCAAACCAAUUGCAUUACUUCUUUCAUUAUGCAUUUGGAUCAUCAUCAACAUUAUUUGUUCUCUUCAAUUUGAUUCAUCUCUUUUGUCACCAAUUUAUCAAAAUCAUACCUUGAAAUGACUCCAAAACUUCAUAAAACUUGUUAGUAACUCUUGCAAGGGCAACAACAUAUUAAUUAAGUGUUUUAGGCAUAGUUACUACUCAAAAGAUGCGAAACUCAUGAUAAUUAUUAUAUAAAAUAUGCUCUUUUUGAGUAGUAAUCAACUUUCUUGCAUAAGCAGACCUUUUAGGGUGGAGUACUAAAGACCAAUAUGCUUGUCCUUGUUGUAAUAAAGAAACUUGCUCUUAUUGAUUGCACCAUGGGAGAAAAUUUUGCUACAUGAGUUAUCAUCAAUUUCUUCCCACCAAUCAUAGAUUUAGACGUGACAAGAGGCCUCUUAAUGGCAAGGAGGAACUGACACUCACACUUAUACAAUUAUCGGGCAUUGAUGUGUUGCAACAAUUAGAAUAACUUACACCAAUUAUGUUGGGGAAGUCACAAAAGGCAAACAUGAAAACUAAAAGGAAAAAAGAAAAAUGUUACAUAUCACCACAACUGGAAAGAAAAAAGUAUUUACUUUCAUUUGCCAUAUUGGAAAGCACUUAUUUUACAUCAUAAUAAUUUAGACAUAAUGCAUAUUGAGAAAAAUGUGUGACAAUAUAAUUGAGACAUUGUUCAGUAUUGACGAAGAAACAAGGACAACCUAAAUAGUCAUCUCGAUUUACAAGCUCUAACUAUUAGAAAUGAGAUUCACCCAAUAGAAAGCAGGACCAAAUUUAUUUUGCUUGCAACAUGCUACUCACUCACCCCAAAUGAGAUUAAGGAAUUUUGCAAGUUUUUGAAAUCAAUAAAGGUCCCCAAUGGCUAUUCUUUCAAUAUCUCUCGUUAUGUGCAACUCAAUGAAAGGAAGAUAUAUGAGCUCAAAUUGUAUGAUUGUCAUGUCCUAAUGCAACAACUUCUCUCACUUGUAGUUCGUGGAGUUCUACAUAAGAAUGUUUGUGGAGUUAUCAUAGAAUUGCGUAAUUUUUUCAAGCAAUUGUGCUCAAAGGUGUUAGAAACAAAUCACUUACACCAACUUGAGAACAAUAUUAUUGUCAUACUAUGUAAAAUGGAGCAAAUAUUUCUUCCAUCAUUCUUUGAUAUUAUGGUGCAUUUACUUGUGCAUCUAGUAAGGCAAAGGUUGCAAGACUUGUGCAAUAUUGUUGGAUGUACCUAAUUGAACGAUAUUGUUAUAAUUUCAUAUGAAUCAUUUAAUUUUAUUUUAUAUUAUGUUCAGUUCAUUAACAUGUACAUUGGUCUACAUAUGGAUGAUGAUAGGUACCUAAGCACUUUAAAGUCAUAUGUGCGUAAUAGAACUUUUCUAGAAGGUUCUAUUGUAGAAAGGUACCUUGCAAAAGAAUGUACAACAUUUUAUUCUAGGUACUUGAAUGAUGUGGAAAUAAAGUAUAAUCACAAUGAUAGAAACUUUGUUGGUUUCAACACUAGAGGAGAUGAAAGGGGUUAUCUUUAAACAUAUUGGACAUGCAUUGGGAAAGCCCAUAUUUCAUUAACUUAGUUCAAAAGAGUGGUCACAAGCACAUUUAUAUGUGUUGACAAAUUGCGAAGAUGUCAUACCAUUCAUUGAGUAAAAAAUUUAUUUGAAUUUUAAUUAAAGCUCUAGUUUAUAUCCUUAAUCAAUGUUUUUUAAAUUCACAAGGAGCACAAGCAAACCAUCAAGGCUAGACCACAUAUACGUGUUUGAGACGUAGAUUUAAUUCAUAACAAGGAAUUUAUCAAGUGGUUUGAAAGACAUGUAAGUAUAUUCCUUAUUAUAAGGGAUUUAUUUCACAUUAUGUUUAUAUUGAAUCCAAACCUAUUAUUGAAUUGUAGGUUGAACAAUUACAUAAUGAAGGUCAUAUAUCUGAACACCUUCUCACAUUAUCAUGUGUUCCAAAUUCAUUAGUUACAUGCUUCAAAUGAUAUAUUGUCAAUGGAUUUAGAUCCCACAUUAAAGAACGUGAUAAAAAAGUUUUUAAAAAAAGACUCAGAAUAAUGGAAUUGUUGUAGUUGCAAAAACGUCAAGCUUUACAAGUGCAUGUGAUAUGAGUCCAAUUAUUAGUGAUGCUCUCUACUAUGGUGUUCUAACUAAAGUUGUUGAGUUACAUUAUCUUGGUGAAAAUAAGGUUGUUUUAUUCGAGUUUGAUUGGUGGGAUGUUACAAAUAUUGGAAAAUUGAUAAAAGAUGAUGAGUACAAUUACACAUUUGUUAACUUUGCAUGAAUUCUAACCACGAACGAACGAUUUGUACUUGCAUCUCCAGCAAAGUAAGUGUUCUAUGUGAAGAAUGCGAAUGAAUCAGAUUGGCAUACUAUCAUGGAGAUGCAACCUCAAGACCUCUAUAAGAUGAACGGGAUAGGAUCCAAUGGUGAUUUUGAACCAUUUCAACAAAGUGAACUACAUGAUCACUAAUAUAUCUCAGAUUUAGUUGAUGAAGAUAUAAUCAAGUGGAACAAAAGUGAUGUUUUAGGACUAAUCAUCCUAAAAAAUAUUGUAGUUUCUUAAAAAAAAAAUGAAAAUGAAGAAGAUAAUUGAACCUUUGUCAUACUUUAAAAAGCAACUAUGCAUUGUUCAUUUUGUAUGUUUUGGUUUUCUUCAUUUAAUUUCCUGAUUUUUGUGAUUCAAUGUCAUAUUAUUGAUCUUGAAAUAUUUUUCUAAUUUUUCAUUCUACGAUGGUUUCAACAAGGAUGACAUCAAGUCAAAAAAGGAAAUGUGGUCCCACACACAAUAUUGCAUUACAGGGAUUAAGGUCAGGGAAGAAGGUAAAAGUUGCAUUUAAUGAGUACAAUCAAUUGGUUAAACAGAAAAAUGGAAAACACUUAUCGAGCUACAUAGGGACACUUGUAUCUAACCAACACAAUGUACCUCUCCAAGCUAGUGAUUGGAAAAAUGUUCCAAAUGAUGCAAAAGAGAAAGUAUGGCCUUUGUUUUGGUAUGUUGUAUUUCUCACUAUAUGAUGUCAUUUCACUGUUAUUCUAUUUUGUGACUAACGUUUGAAUCAUAUGUAAGAAAAAUUUGAAGUAGAUAAAGACUGAAAAGAUUACAUGUUGGGUAUAGCCUCAAAUAAAUAUAGAAGCUAUAAAAAUAUGAUGAAUGCAAAAUACUAUGACCCUUGGCAUAAGGAUGCAUGAGGAGAGGUUAAUACAUAAAUCACCAUUUGUCUCUGAUGUUGAUUGGAAGUGGCUUGUCUCUGAUGCAUAAACCAAAUCCCCCACUGAAUGUUUGAUAUUUGAUAGCAGGAAAAACACACCCGCAGCUAUACACCUCCAUCAUUCAGAUAAUUAUAGUGGGGGAGAUGAUUCAUGGUUGCCCUUAUACCCUUUAUUUGCACCAUCUAUUGAGAUUCUUUAUCAUGGCCAGGUUUUACUGCAGCAAUAAGAUAUGGUGGCAACAAUUUUAUCUAUAGGUGCGGUUCCAGACCGCCUCCAUAGGUGCGGUUCCUGACUGCCUCCAUAGGUGCCUCUUCUUGUAAUGUUUGUUCUGGGAAUUACACUUGAAAGCCUUAUCGUGAUAAGGGAUUACAAACACUAGUUCAGAGGACAGCCAUGUUAAACUUCCACUAUGUUUGUGUCACAUUAUCAGCAGCCUAGUGUUUAUUGGUCAUGCUAUCUGCAACUAAUAUAACCCGGUGAACUUCAAUCUAAAUUCUGAAAGUACUCAUGUGACAGAUGGUGCCUUUCAGCAGAUAUCAUCAAUUUAAAAGUAGUGUGUGUGCCUAUAGGUGGGAAGGCCUUGGCAAAUGUUCAGUAUUCCGGUAAUUCAAGAAGGAUAUAUCUAAAAUAGAUUUUCUUCUUGCCCAUUUCAAUAGUUAAAAUUUGAGAAGAUUGUGUCCACAUCACACAAAUAUUAUUGGUCCUUCUGUUGCAAUUUACCUCUGAACAUGUCUUCCAAUUCCCACGGUCCUGUUACUCCAGGAAAACUAUUUCGGUCAUAUUGAAAAAAAAAAUAUUAAAGAAGGUACACAUGCUUUUAAGUGGACUGGGGCAUUCAUAUCAGGUGGUCUGUAUCCACAUAUGCCACUUCGUGAAAGGUGGAACAGCCUAAUCACUAGGCUAUUUAGUGUGGCCCAGCCACGUUAAUCAAGCACAAGUCUUCAUACUUAAAGUCAAAUGGUGUCUUUAGUCUCAUUACACAUCGCUAUUUGAAGAUUAACUCAUCACUAGUGUAAUGCGAUUAAGACAGUCCUAACUCAAUAUUUGUUCUAGUUUUGGAUGCAAAUGCUUGCUGGUUUCAUCAUUGGAUGGGAUAAAGGUGCAAUCAGGACUAUGAAUACGUGCAGUAAUACUUCAUUCUCUUUUUUCUCAAUGAGACUUCUUGGCACAAUUUUGCUGCUCAGCAACCUACCUUUCCAUGGAAAAUCAGUUGUGACUGAUAGUAAUGGAUAUAUUCUAGAAAGCUAAACAUAGAUAGCAUUCAAUAUUAUCGAUAUAACAUUAACAGCGUAUGUCUCAAUGCUCAUCAGCUACAAGCAAUGGACAAACACUUUGAGUAACUCACAGCAGUCAAAAUUCCUAAACAGGACAGACGUGACAGAUCUAUAUAUAGAACACUGCAUAUGAGUCACAGGAAAAGAUAAUACGGGUACAUAGAAGCUCUUAUUUUACAUAUUACUCAUACUGAUCAAAGUCGCUCAGUUGGGAUGGAUGGGAGAAGGAGGUUUGAGGGGUGGCUUGUGCGGGGAAGUUGGCAGCUUCUUUCCGGGAGCUGGUUGCUUCUUUGCUGGAGUUGAAGGAGGCUUAAUCUUCCGAGGUGGCUUGUAUGAGUCUUCAGCAUUCUCAGCAGGAGGGUGACCAGGGUUGUGACCAUAAUGUGGUGGCUUCUCUCCCUUAGGUGGUUUGCCAACUGGGGUUGGUGGCUUGUUUUCUGGGAGUGGCUUCUCUCCCUUGGGUGGUUUGCCAACUGGGGUUGGUGGCUUGUGUUCUGGGAGUGGCUUCUCCCCCUUGGGAGGUUUUUCGAAUGGGGUGGGUUUGUGUCCUGGUGGUGGCUUCUCUCCCUUGGGAGGUUUACCAAUUGGGGUCGGUGGCUUGUGUUCUGGGAGGGGCUUCUCUCCCUGGGGAGGUUUAGUGGGUGGCUUGUGUUCUGGAGGUGGCUUCUCCACCGGAGGCUUAUGCUCUGGUGGUGGCUUCUCGAAGGGGGGAUGCUCAGGGUAAUCACCAAGUGAGGGGGUGGUGAGAACCACCAUGCCAAGCAACAACACUAGCAAGUAUGUAGUAGACAUCUUUGGGUUUGGACUCAGACAGUGCAAAACUACGAGAAAUCGCUAGCCCUUUAUAGCGGCUCGGACCUAAUACUGACAUAAUAUAAAAUAAAUAUUAUAUUUUAUCAAGAGAGAACAGAGUGUAAUUUUAUCAUUAAUACCGAUCGAGGCCAAAGAAAGAAGACCCAUAAUCCAUUUCCCACAAGCAUACACAAUGCAGCUGUAAUUUUAUCAUUUACUUUUAUCCCUUGGACCACUGCAUUUUUGUUGAGAGACACAAUAACACAUUUUUAUCUGUCAUUCAACAUUUACAGUAAAGAGAGGGCACAAAACGCAAUUAGAUAAAUUAUGUUUUGCCUGCUAAAAAGAGGCAAAUAACUUUAUUUGCAACAUAAUUAUUUUGGUUUCUAGUGACCCCGGGGCCUUUCGGUUGGUUUGGGAUCGGAAAAUGAACAUCAUAGGGGGGGUUGUGCCCUUAUGGGCAUAUAUAUCUGAUAGCUUCAACUGGCCUUGUUCCUAGAAAGAAAUUGCCAAAGAUAUAAACUUAUUCCAGGCUGAAAGUAGAUGAGAGUCAUAAUGAACAUCAACCUUUGUUCAGUUUGAUUCAAUGCCCCCAUAGUGUUCAUUUCACAGAUCUGAAUGAUUAUAUCCGUUGAAUACAUAAAUUAAUGAAGACAAAUAUGAAACCCAAGAUACAUCUCUGCAUAACAACCCCAACCCUGGUUGCUAUGUUUCCCUUCUUCUAUUCACAUGAGGAUACUGGUUAUAAUUGUCAAACUUGCAACAAGCCCUUUGACACCUAACGUCAAUGGACGAAUUAAAAGUCUCCUUCAAACGUCUAUUUCACAGCAUGAAGCUUAUAAAGGAUGCUGACAACCUUCAGAGUUAGCGACAAAAGAUAAUUAUCAAGGAGAGAUAGUUCCAUGAGAAUUCCAAGGAGUCUGAAUCAAAGACAAAUUGCUCACUCAAGGGUUCUUAUUUUCUUUUAGGUACAAAUCUCUUGAGUGUUGUUAAAGAAACACGUCACUGUCAUUUUGAUUUGCAUUUAACAUUUCACUUUUGUUCUGGAAGGUUUGUUCCGGAAACAUAUCAAAUGAGCAUCAUUUUCUUCUUCGGUGACACAUGGUCGCGAGUACGUGGGUCCAUUUUCAUGCCACUUAGUUGAAAAGUUGGAAAGAAAAAACAUGCCAACAAGAAGAUAGUGAGAGAAGGGGCACUUCAAGCCUUUAACAUGAACAAACAGUAAAUAAAAGAUGUUUCUCCACUCAUAAAAGUGUGUUAGAUAGCAAUAUAACGAAUCACAUCCAAAAUCUUUACUAGGCUCAAACAUAAAGAAGACUCAUUUUUAAGAAAAGAUAAAAAUGGCAUUGUCUGAUAGUAUCCAAUACACGAGAUGGCACUUAAUUUGUACAAGAUCUGUCAAUGCUGACGCACAUUUUCUGAUUAAAAAAAAACUGAUCAGUCAAAAGCAAUGAAGAGAAGUGAUGACAAUGAAUGAUGCUUCCAAUAUUUUCACCCCUUAUAGUGUUCUUCAUGAUUCAGAUAUAUAAUUGGAAAUAGAACAACCCUAUGCCAUACAUUCGUCUAAGUAUGGUGUCUAAUUUUUUGUGUCAGCGGUUGCGAAUGGAGCGUGCAAAAGUCCAAAUUGGCGUCUCUCCAUUUCCACAUAGGAAGGUGACCUUUAUUGACAAAUACCCAAUAUUUGUAGACAUUCCUUAAAUAUCAUAACUUCUUGUUGAUUUGAAAAUCAUUUUUCAACUACCAUGUUUUAAUAAAUAUUUUUUAAAAUGUAUUUUUAUCAAAGUCCACCAUGAUGGAUAAUAUUCACCAUGCAAUAAUUAAUAAAGUACAAACUAAGCGAAAUGAAAAGCAUUUUCUUUGCUUUGAGUUGAUUUUGGUUGCAUUGAGUUGAUUUUGGUUUCAUGGUUUUUUCAACUCUUAUUUUGAUUGGAAGAUGUCAAGAAAAGAAAACAUAAAGAAAAAUUAAAAGGGAAAAAAGAAGAAAAAUAAAAAAAAAUAGAUUUAAAAGUUAAUAAAUUAUUUUUUAUAUUUAUUUUAAUUCAUUUCACUUAUUUUUCUUUUACUAUAUAAAAUUUAAAUAAUUUAAAUUUUAUAAUUAAUUUAAUUACAUUUCAUUUUCUUCUAUAUUUAAAUAUUGGAAAAAUAUUUUACUUAAUAUUUUUUUCUUUAAUUUCUUUGGCAUUUUGGGAACCAAACUUAGCCUUUAAAAUAAAAAACAAAAAAAAAAUGAAAAUAAGGAGGGAAAAGUGAGAAAAGAUAAAAACAAUAUGUAAAGGAUUUGAAAAGUAUUAGUUUGUAAUUACUAUUUGGAUUUCAAUAGUAUUUUAUUUGUCUUUCUAUAUUUCAUGUAAGAGAGAAUUUAAGAUAUUCCCCAAGGCAAAGCAUUAGUUACCUGCAAUCAGUGGUGAUAAGGCUCCAAGCCAAUUUUGGGCCCCAUAUCUUAAGACAGUACAAUUUCCAUUUCAACAUUUCUGAUUUCUCAGAUGUUUCACAUACCACAGAAGAACAUUGUUUGUGAAAAUAUGCAUUUAUGUUGGAUUUUGUAUGCUGUGGGGACUGGGGCAAGGAUCAUAUGGAAGAGUGGUUGACUUUUUCUGUACUUUAACGGUUGAAAUAGGAUAAGCACGGGCAUUUGUGAGGCUUAAUUGAUUUUGAAGCCUGAAAUUGCGUUUCUGUCAUUUUGUCAAAAAAAUGGCAGAUUCCAUACUCAUAUGUUUGGCCUGUGGCCAUGUACAGAUGCCAUUUAGUGACCAGUUUGUAACUGUCAAUCGUUGCGUUUUGACUCUGCCUCAACAACAUCUGCCAUUGACGGGUUUUCAUACUUGCAAAUCAAAUAGUCUUUCGUCCCAUCAGGAAUUUCGGUUUAAAUAUUAUUAAGCAUACGUUUGGCUGACAAUCAUUAUCCAGUUCAUGAUUUGGUUUCUUACCCUUAAUCAAUGGUUUCUAAGUGAAUAUAUGUAGAAGGAAAUCCGAAGUGUAGACAGUAGUAUCGAUAACUCUCAAUAUUCUCUAUAUAAUAGAAUAAACAGCGUCAUAGUGAUCGUCGCCUACAAGCAAGGUACAAAUACCAAAACGAGUGACUCACAUAGACAUCUCCCAACAAGAUGUAGUAGUGACUGACACAUGGACACAAUUAACUCGUAGAAAAGGAUAAGACCAUUGCACAGCAGCUCUUAUUUUACAUACUACUUAUGCUAACCAAAGUCAAUUAGUUGGGAUGGGUGGGAGAUGGAGGUUUGUGCGGUGGCUUGUGGGGCGGAGUUGAUGGCUUCUUUCCAGGAGCUUCUGGCUUUUUCAUCGGAGCUGAAGGAGGCUCAAUCUUAUGAGGCGGCUUGUAUGAGUCUUCUUUACUCUCGACAGGAGGGUGGCCAGGGUUGUGAUCAUAAUGUGGUGGCUUCUCUCCCUUAGGUGGCUUGCCAACUGGGGUUGGUGGCUUGUGUUCAGGAAGUGGUUUCUCUCCCAUGGGAGGUUUAGCAAUUGGGGUUGGUGGCUUGUGUUCUGGGAGUGGCUUCUCUCCCUUGGGAGGUUUAGUAGGUGACUUGUGUUCUGGAGGUGGCUUCUCCACCGGAGGCUUGUGCUCCGGUGGUGGCUUCUUGGUUGGAGGGGGCUUGGGGUAAUCAGCAAGAGAUGGGGUGGUGAGAACCACCAGUCCAAGGAACAACACUAGCAAGUAUGUGGGAGACAUUUUUGAGUUUGGGCUGAUCAGAUGAUGCAAAACUAAAGCAUUACGUGACCUUUUAUAGCAUGUAGCUCCCAAUACCCACUAAGUAUUGUGGGGUCCAUUUGUGCCCUACGGGGUUGAAAACUUAGACAAUUGGGCAAGGACCCACCUGACUAUGGAGGACUAGUGAGGUGUGAUCAUAGCUUUAGGAUUUUUCUUCCUCUGCAGCCGUCGUGCCGUUGGCAUGAUUUUCUUAAUCUUAAAUAAAGGCAUAGUUAUAGAGUUGUUUAAUCUCUAAAUGGGAUUUUAUAUAUAUCUUCAGAUAGCCAUUAAUAUAUUUGAUGAAGAAAGAAAGACAAGUGCAUACAACAUGUAUACGACUAGCUUUCAUGGAGUUCAUUUAUGAUCAGUUUUCCUGUACAUGUAAACCAGGAUCAUAUAUAUGUUUCUGUUCCACAACUAUUUUGGAAUCUUGUUUAUCAGUUUUUAUCAUUAUAAUGUCACAUAGGCUGCCAACUUGGGCGCUAAAAGAACCAGUUGGGCUAGUUCGUUUCAGAAUUUCAAUGUGGAUUCAGGAAUUGUUUUGUAAGAUAUGCGAAAUAGUAGAGGGAUGAAUAGUGUUUCAUUAAUAAAAGUGUCCUGUAAAUUAGAAGGUGUCAUAGAAACUAUAAUCAAUAAAUAACUUUUUUUCCCCACGGGUGGUGUUUCUUGUGGGGAUCAGUGACUGGUUUAGGUUCACCCAAAAUGAGUUCAGACUAAAAUUGGUUUGAGUCAAUGCCGUGUCUCUUUUUUCCAGAAAUCAACUAUUUUAUGCAUUGAAUAAAUCAUACAAAGAAAAUAUGAACGCCCGCAAAACCUAAACCCUGGUUGCUAACUUUCUAUGUUUCAGUUCUAUUCACGCAAGAAUAUUAGUUUAAGUUUGGGAAAAAUGGCAACUUACCUAGUGAUUACUUGGUUUUGGUUUGCGACUAUUUACGCAACCAACCAUGAGUUUGACUUUAACGUCAUGGGUUGAAGCCUCCUACAGGAAGGGAGAAAGCUCCACAGCUAGCUCCAAAAGAGAAUUAUCACAUUGAUAGCUCCAGAGAUUCCCAAGGGGACUGAAUCAAAGACAAGUUCCUCACUUUUUCUUCUUUUGAGGCCAAAUAUGAACCAAGGAUCACACAACCUCAUUCAACUUCAUAAGUUUGAUUUCAUGCAGUUGAACACUGGGUGAAGGCCAUGACAAGAAUUGAUUCAAAAAUUCUAUCACUCUUUUAAGUAAUGGAAGAUUAUUAUCUCUGAUUGGCAUCACAACAGCACAUGCUCCUAGAUCUUUCUAGACACUCCAUGCAAUGAAAGCACAAUGGAUCUUGUAACGAUAGAAACUAAGCCAUGCUACAGUACUAGAUGAUGAGGUAAAACUAGUAGACACGGGUGGCAGCCUAUAUGGGAGGGACACAAGUCUAAUUGAUUUGCAUUUCAGCAUUAUAGAUAGGUAUGUUUUGGAAGAUUUGUUCUGGAAAUACCGCACCAAGUAGGAUUCUUUUUCUCUUUAGUGGGUCCACUUGCAUGCCAAUUAACGAGUUGAAAAGUAUGAGCACCUACCUCGUGCUCGUGGAACCGAAGGUCAGUGAAGUGGGGCUCCUUUUGGCCUCGUGUAAACUUGAUUCAGAAGUGAAGUUAAUAGUCUUCCAUUCAGAUGGAUACAUGGGAAUUUUUCUCUUUUAUUUAUUUAUUUAUUUUUUUUUUGUGUGUGUAUGUCAAAGGAUAAUGAAUGAAGCGCGUUAGCUUGUUUUCUGACUGGAACCGCAGAUGUCCAAAUUGGAGUUCCUUCAUUUCUUACUUAGGAUUGUUACAUGUAUAAACAAGGUAUAAGAAAUAUGCCAACGUGUCUUGAGGAGUUAUUGAUUAGAAAUAACAAGUCACCCGACUGUAGAGUUCCAAGAUUUGAAUCUUCAGACCCUAUAGCAGCCUCUGGGGUACGUGGCAUCCUAUAGCAUAUUAAUGAAGGCUUUUUCGAUUUAGACUUCACAAUACCAAUUAAUAUGUAUGCACAAAAUGGAGAUGACCCCAAAAAAAACAGAAUCGCCAUAGUUUAUGAGGUUAAGGUGAUUCUCCACUUAAUAUCUACAUUAGCUAAUUAUGUAAAUCAAAUGAACUUCUAUUUUUCCUUUUUUUUUUUGGUUUAUGUCAAAUAGUAGCCCAUAAUUAACCCAACCAUUAGCCUGUUUGAAUUGAUUUCACAUGCACAAUGUUGUAGUAGUUCAUAUUUUGAAUUUUAUUUUUACAAAGGUAGUUAAGGAAAAUGAAGUAUAAUAAUUAUAAAAGCAGACUAUAUACACUACAAUAAUUGUUAGAAUGGUAUCUCAAAUUCUAAUUUAAAAUAUUAUUUUUUGUAAAAGAAAUAUUAUAUAGAAUAUUUCCUAAUUUUAUAAAUGAUUAUAAUUAGAUCUUUAUAAAAUAAGGAAAGUUGGUAAGAAUAUCUUUAUAAAUAUUUUAGGUCAUGAGAGAAAGAAAUGGGAUAAAAAUGUGAUGAAGAGGUGAAAUAAGAGAGUUGAUUAGGAUAUAGAUGUGAAGAAGAAAGGGAUUCAAUAUAUAUAUAUCUUUCAAUUACCACAUUAAAACCCUGUGAACCUUUUAUAUGGUUUACUUUAUUUUUAUAUUCCUCCUUUAAUAUAUUUACAUUAAUGCUUCCAUUGGCACAACAAUAACGAAUUACAAAUACAAGCAACAAGUCCCAUGUUUUAUUACCAAAAGCAGGUAAAAUCCACCUAAUAUAUUACAAUAUAUUCAUCCAAUAUUUUAGACCAAUUCUUCACCAUAAAUAUCAUAAUGUGGCUUUUGUUCUUUCUUAAAUUUAAAUUGAAUUGUCUUAUAUCAAUUUGUUUGUGAUUUUUUCAUUAACUUCACUUUCAUUUGGUUAUCUUUGGUUUUUGAAAAGUAUUAAGGAAUUAAUUAACAAAAUAAUGUUAAGAAAAAUAAUUUUCUCUCUUUUGAUUUUGAUUUUGUAGUAGAAAAAUAUAAUUAAAAUUAUUUAAAAAGUAUGUAAUUUUAAAUUAUUUAAUAUUUAGAUAAAAAAAAUAAGUCUAAUGAGUUUAAAAUAACAUAUAAAAAUAAUUUAUUUAUUUUAAAUUUAUUUUUUAUUUUCCAUUAUGUUCUCUUUCUCUUUUACUUUUUCAUAUUUUUUCUUACGAAGAAUCAAACACAACCUCAUAUUAUAUGUCAAGUGUUUGUCUAUAUUUGAGCAAUGUUAGAUACGGCCAUGGAUUCAUCAAACUAAACUGAUUUUAAUAGAUACUUCACAAAUUGAUUUAUACACUAAAUCAUUGGAUAGCAAUGAUGCAUUGGAAUUAAACGUAGGAUGAAGCUCGAAGAACACUGUUUGUGUAACAACAUAUUUAUGAAAUUAUGCAAAGGAUGAGCUUCGGGGUAGUAGUACAAGGUCAUUAAUGGAGAGCCGUGUUAAACCUUGAUUGUGAUUGGAUUCCGUUAUCAGCAACAGCAACCUUGUUUGUAACCUUGAAAGUCAUUCUGUCCACAUCGAAACUCCAAUUUGACGUUUGUAAUUACCAUUCCUGGAGUGUUCCUUGAUUGAAAUUUAAAUAAUAAUUGCGGCCCACAAGGAAUAUUUUCGAUUCUGUGGGAAUUUGACAAGGUUUGUUAGAGAAGACUGGUGACAUGUUGACUUCAAUGGUUCAAAUAGGAGACGUAUGUGGAUUUGGGGGGUUUAAUUGAAACUGAGUCCCUAUGGCUUUUUAAUAUUUGCAUUGAGCAGUCUCCAUGUGACUUCCUAAUUCCCACCAACCCUCCUGUCCAUGCUGUGAAACUAAAUUGUAAUUUAUCAGCCUUUGUCAAUGGUUUCUAAAUUAAAGAUAUAGACCAUGCAUGUACUUUAAUAAAAGCAAAUCUAAAGUGUAGAUAGCAGCAAUGGUGACACCCAAUAUUCUCCAUAAAAUAGAAUUAGAAUAAGCAGUGUUACAUUGUUCAUGAUCACCUACAAGCAUACAAGAACUUCCAUGAAUAACUCAUAGCAAUUGCCAACAGGGCGUCGUAGAGACUCAUACAUAGAACACUAUCCACCCAGAGGAAAGGACAAGACCAGUGCGCUGCAGCUCUUAUUUUUCACAUGUAUACCACCACUCGUAAUAACCAAAUUCACUCAGUUGGGAUAGGUGGGAGAUGGUGGUUUGUGGGGUGGCUUGUGGGGAGGAGUUGGAGGAGGCUUUAUUUUCUGAGGCGGCUUGUAUGAGUGUGCAGGAGGAUGCCCGGGAGUGUGACCAUAAUGUGGUGGCUUCUCUCCCGUAGGUGGUUUGCCAAAUGGGCUUGGUGGCUUCUCUCCCUUAGGAGGUUUACCAAUUGGGGUUGGUGGCUUGUGUUCUGGGAGUGGUUUCUCUCCCUUGGUAGGUUUGCCAAUUGGGGUUGGCGGCUUAUGUUCUGGGAGUGGCUUCUCUCCCUUGGGAGGUUUGCUAAUUGGGGUUGGCGGCUUAUGUUCUGGGGGCGGCUUCUCUCCCUUGGGAGGUUUGCCAAUUGGAGUUGGCGGCUUAUGUUCUGGGAGUGGCUUUUCUCCCUUGGGAGGCUUGCCAAUUGGGGUUGGCGGCUUAUGUUCUGGGGGUGGCUUCUCUCCUUUAGGAGGUUUGCCAAUUGGAGUCGGCGGCUUAUGUUCUGGAAGUGGCUUUUUUCCCUUGGGAGGUUUGCCAAUUGGGGUUGGCGGCUUAUGUUCUGGGGGUGGCUUCUCUCCCUUGGGAGGUUUGCCAAUUGGAGUCGGCGGCUUAUGUUCUGGGAGUGGCUUCUCUCCCUUGGGAGGUUUUGUUGGUGGCUUGUGUUCUGGAGAUGGCUUCUCCCCUGGAGGCUUGUGCUCCGGAGGUGGCUUCUGAAAUGGCGGGGGCUUGGGGUAAUGAGCAAGAGAUGGAGUACUGGUGAGAACCACCAUUCCAAGCAACAAUACUAGCAAGCAUGUGGGAGACAUCUUUGAGUAGUUGUAGCUAAGAUGGCGCAACACUGUAGGCAUUGGGUGGCCUUUUAUAAAGGGCUGGACCCAACAGCCAUAUGACACGUGUCAUGAUGACAAAUGAAGUUGAGGGGAUCCAGAUGGGUCCUACUGAGUCGAAAACUUGCACUAAUUGAUCUGGUGAGAUGACUAUUUCUGUCCUUUUGCCCUUCUCGGCCACCCUGUGCUGUUUUCCUUUUGCACGAUUUUCGUUGCCAAACAAGCAAAUAAUAUUUCGCCAAGAAAGAGGAGAGUGAAUGUGGAAUGCAUCAAGUCCCAUCAAGGAUGGCAGAGAAGAAAUAGAAGAUUGCCCAACUGUGAUAAACAUAGCAUACACGUAGCACCAGGAACUUCAUUUACUUCCAUCUAAUGGAACAUAACAAUCUUCUAAAGUUUUUGCAUGAUUUUGUUAUAUGUCUCUUAGCCUAAAGUUGGAAAUGCGCAACAAAUUUUGUCACUUCUCUAUUUCCCACUGAUGAUGUUAAUUAGCCUUCAUAGAUAUCAUCCUUUCUACAAAGUGCUUCAUUUGUGUGUUAUUGUAAAGUGUAAGAAAAGUAAUUGAACAUGUUCUUUUUCCUUUCAUAGAUGACUUUUGAUGUGCAUUUUAAAAGCAGCGCUGUGAGUCGGUGACCUUGAUUCACACGGAAACUAAGGCUCCUAUAGGACCCACUUUUAGCUGGUUAGGGGUGAAGAAAAUAUCAACUUUUCAGAGUGAUUUAAGUCAAGGCCAAGCCUCACUGUGUCAUUACUCGUGUGAAUUUUAUAUGCACAUACAUACAUAAAUAAAGUAUGAGACCCAAAUAACACCUUCCCUUUACAAACUUAACCCCAGCCGCUCUCUUUCAAUUCUUUUCACACAAGGGUAUUGACUCUAUAAAGGUCAAGAAAAUCAUAAUUUCCUAGGGUUUACAAGGUAAUUGGCUUAAUGCUAAUGUGAAAACAUAAAAGAUAAUAGUAUAUUGUAAGCUAACGAAUAUUCUAUAGUUAUAAUUAUUUGUGAUGUGCAUAAAUAAAUCUUCAUAUAUAUAAUGGAACAAUGAAUAAAGAACCAAUGAAAAAAUACUAUAUAUCAUUGCUUGGCAUUUAAACCGUAUAUGCUGCUCUUUCUAGCUACUCCAUCCACUGAAAGACAACAAGGUAAUCCAUGUUAUAAUGAUAGAAGAUACUGUCUCUAGGCUUUUUGUGAUGAAAAAUAUAAGAUAUGGGUAGGGUUGACCCUUGUAUGUUUGUCCUAUAAACACUUCAAAGUAACAUAUUUUUCUUCUUUAGCAACUCAUAAUGAUGGGGUUCAUUUGCAUGUCACUGAGUUGAAAAGUUGGACAAUUGCCCAUGUCGCCUUCCUCCUAGAUUCCGUAGUUCACGGGAAGGUAACUCAAGUUUGACAUAUUUUGAAUUCUUUUCACUCGGACGUCUUCAUAACCUGACAAAACAAAAAUGAAAAACAGAGGAUUGGUAUAUUAUUCAUGGUAAGCCUCAAAUUAUAGUAGUAUGAGAAAGGAGAAAAAGAUUUUGGGAACUCCAAUCUGGAUAAUUCUCGUUUCUUCUCUUGAAUAAAAAUUUCACUUACCUAACUUCGUUUGGAGAAAUGGCAUAUUUUAAUUUUGUACGUCAUUGCUAAUAAAUGGAGCAAUUUAGCAUGUUUUGUGACUGAAACUGCAAAUGUCCAAUUGGCAUUUCUUCAUUUCCCACUUAGGAUCUGAUCUUGUAGACCAUAUAACGAUAUGUAUCUGUGCAAGCAUUGAAAACUAAUGUGAACUAUGAGGAGUUACAAGCCACUGGACUGUAGAGCGAGUGCCAAGAUUUAAAUCUUCAGGCUCUAUCUGGGUAAGGGGAGGAUAGCGACCUAACCUUUUACCAAAGGCUUAGAAUUUAGACUUUUGGAAAAAAAUUUCUCAUGUUUUGGCUGGAUUUCUUGUGCUUGGCGCAAAAAGGAGAUGGCCUCAAGAAAUAGCAGACUCACUUUUGUUUUCAGCCCUUAAUAAUUCUCCACUGCUUUCCAUAACUACAUGGGUUAUACAUGCAGUCUGCUGCAAUAUUCCAGUUAUAUUUAUUAUUUCAAAGAGGGUGAAUGACUUCACAUGCAAUAUGUUGCAGUAACAACCCAAAUUUUGGCACACCAUCUUAAGAAUAGAAAAGUAUAAUAAAAGAAAUCAAUCAGAGAAUCACUUUGCAUGCAGUUCAUAGAGUUCGCCCAAAAUGGAGCCACAUGUACGGACAACCCCACAAUAGACAAUCUUCUCUAUACAGUAAUAAAAUACAGAAAUGGUUAAUGAAGCUCUGUAUUUCCUUAUCAUAUAUGACCGGUUGAAAACUCAGCAAGUCUUCCUCAAUCACAGACAGUUGGAGUUGCUUCAUCAAAAUCAUGCCUUCAUUACUGGCUUCAUUUUGGUUUCAAUGUCUGUUCUACCCUUAAAUUGGGUCUCUGCUUACUACCGGGAUAUCCUUUAGCGUCCUGCAAUUCUACUAGAUUAAAGAGAAUGACUUAAUUCUGCAUUCUGCCGUCCCUAGUCCAAGUGGUACUAGAAUUGAUGUUUCCUUUAGUGUCCUUUCUUCAUACUUUCAGGUUCUUCCCUUGUUUCAAUAAUGCUGUUUUCCUUCAUGUUUAACCUCUGUUGAACCACUUAAAACAACACAAUUUGCACACCAAUGUUUCUUUACAGAAAAGACUGUUUGCAAAAAUGCACAUGUUAUAAGGUUAAUGGAAGAAUUAAUUUGGGGAUAAGGGACUAGGAUUGGGCCAAUGAAGUUUGGUGUUAAAUUUUGAUUAUGAUUGCUUUUCAUUAUCAGGUACCUUAUAUUUGCUGAUGCUAUCUGGAACUAAAUUCAAAUCAGACAUUAUCCGAUUACUAACAGGACAUAUCAUGUCCCUCUGCAGAGUUUCUAAACUAACAUGUAUCGAAAUGUGGCCCCAAAAGGAAGGCUAGGAAGAUGGAGGAUUUUGUAGGAAUCGACCAGAAUCAGAUGGAAGAGAGAUAGUCCUGUUGACUUUAAUGGUUGUGAUAGGAACAUGCAUCAUUAUAUGAGAAGUUGCAUGAAUUUAUGUAUCCUGUUAUCGUUCCUUGACGAUUUCCCAAUGCAAUUUCACUGUCCACAAGACUAACCUCUCCAUGCAGUCAAAUGAAUUGUAAUUUCUCUAUUGGUACCAGUAGUACAUUUCAUACCAAACAUAUAGUAAAUAUAAAAUAUAAAUAGAUCAAGGAAAUCUGAAUUGUAGAUAGCACUGCAAGUAACACUCAAUAUUCUCUAUAUAUAAUAAAAUAAACAGUGUCACAAUACUCAUCACCCAGUGGCAAGGGAGAAAAACCUACAAUGAGUACUCAAAUCACCAUUCUCAAACAGAAACAUAGCAGUGACUGAUACAUAGAACCUAUAUGCUCACAGGGAAAGAAUAAGAUGACCAGUGCACAGCGGGCAGCAGCUCUUAUUUUACGUACAACUCAAAUCCCAAACUAACCAAAGUCGCUCAGUUGGGAUGGGUGGGAGAUGGUGGUUUGUGGGAUGGCUUCUGGGUAGGAGCUGGUGGCUUCUGUCCCUUUGGUGGUUUGCCUAAUGAGCUUGGUGGCUUGUGCUCCGGGAGUUGUUUCUCUCCCUCGAGUAGGUUUCGAGUCUUGUCAGAUGGCUUGUGUUCUGGUGGUGGCUUCUCUCCCUGGGGUGGUUUGCCGAAUGGGCUUGGUGGCUUGUGUUCGGGGAGUGGCUUCUCUCCCUGGAGAAGGUUACGAGUUUUGUCAUAUGGCUUUUGUUCUGGUGGUGGCUUCUCUCCCUGGGGUGGUUUGCCGAAUGGGCUUGGUGGCUUGUGUUCGGGGAGUGGCUUCUCUCCCUGGAGAAGGUUACGAGUUUUGUCAGAUGGCUUGUGUUCUGGUGGUGGCUUCUCUCCCUGGGGUGGUUUGCCGAAUGGGCUUGGUGGCUUGUGUUCGGGGAGUGGCUUCUCUCCCUGGAGAAGGUUACGAGUUUUGUCAGAUGGCUUUUGUUCUGGUGGCGGCUUCUCUCCCUGGGGUGGUUUGCCAAAU
RNAcentral lists this long non-coding RNA (30129 nucleotides) under Vitis vinifera (wine grape). Its description in RNAcentral is "long non-coding RNA (VVIN_LNC001392)". The record is from RNAcentral. Lineage: Eukaryota; Viridiplantae; Streptophyta; Magnoliopsida; Vitales; Vitaceae.